This 1456-nucleotide ribosomal RNA is filed under the name Klebsiella sp. DAP23. Its description in RNAcentral is "16S ribosomal RNA". It matches the Rfam family "Bacterial small subunit ribosomal RNA". The record is from RNAcentral. Lineage: Bacteria; Pseudomonadati; Pseudomonadota; Gammaproteobacteria; Enterobacterales; Enterobacteriaceae.
CAUGCAAGUCGAGCGGUAGCACAGAGAGCUUGCUCUCGGGUGACGAGCGGCGGACNUUUUGAGUAAUGUCUGGGAAACUGCCUGAUGGAGGGGGAUAACUACUGGAAACGGUAGCUAAUACCGCAUAACGUCGCAAGACCAAAGUGGGGGACCUUCGGGCCUCAUGCCAUCAGAUGUGCCCAGAUGGGAUUAGCUGGUAGGUGGGGUAACGGCUCACCUAGGCGACGAUCCCUAGCUGGUCUGAGAGGAUGACCAGCCACACUGGAACUGAGACACGGUCCAGACUCCUACGGGAGGCAGCAGUGGGGAAUAUUGCACAAUGGGCGCAAGCCUGAUGCAGCCAUGCCGCGUGUGUGAAGAAGGCCUUCGGGUUGUAAAGCACUUUCAGCGGGGAGGAAGGCGGUGAGGUUAAUAACCUCANCGAUUGACGUUACCCGCAGAAGAAGCACCGGCUAACUCCGUGCCAGCAGCCGCGGUAAUACGGAGGGUGCAAGCGUUAAUCGGAAUUACUGGGCGUAAAGCGCACGCAGGCGGUCUGUCAAGUCGGAUGUGAAAUCCCCGGGCUCAACCUGGGAACUGCAUUCGAAACUGGCAGGCUAGAGUCUUGUAGAGGGGGGUAGAAUUCCAGGUGUAGCGGUGAAAUGCGUAGAGAUCUGGAGGAAUACCGGUGGCGAAGGCGGCCCCCUGGACAAAGACUGACGCUCAGGUGCGAAAGCGUGGGGAGCAAACAGGAUUAGAUACCCUGGUAGUCCACGCUGUAAACGAUGUCGAUUUGGAGGUUGUGCCCUUGAGGCGUGGCUUCCGGAGCUAACGCGUUAAAUCGACCGCCUGGGGAGUACGGCCGCAAGGUUAAAACUCAAAUGAAUUGACGGGGGCCCGCACAAGCGGUGGAGCAUGUGGUUUAAUUCGAUGCAACGCGAAGAACCUUACCUGGUCUUGACAUCCACAGAACUUUCCAGAGAUGGAUUGGUGCCUUCGGGAACUGUGAGACAGGUGCUGCAUGGCUGUCGUCAGCUCGUGUUGUGAAAUGUUGGGUUAAGUCCCGCAACGAGCGCAACCCUUAUCCUUUGUUGCCAGCGGUUAGGCCGGGAACUCAAAGGAGACUGCCAGUGAUAAACUGGAGGAAGGUGGGGAUGACGUCAAGUCAUCAUGGCCCUUACGACCAGGGCUACACACGUGCUACAAUGGCAUAUACAAAGAGAAGCGACCUCGCGAGAGCAAGCGGACCUCAUAAAGUAUGUCGUAGUCCGGAUUGGAGUCUGCAACUCGACUCCAUGAAGUCGGAAUCGCUAGUAAUCGUAGAUCAGAAUGCUACGGUGAAUACGUUCCCGGGCCUUGUACACACCGCCCGUCACACCAUGGGAGUGGGUUGCAAAAGAAGUAGGUAGCUUAACCUUCGGGAGGGCGCUUACCACUUUGUGAUUCAUGACUGGGGUGAAGUCGUAACAAGGUAACC